Molecule: ribosomal RNA, 1045 nt
Filed under: Labidostomis taxicornis
Lineage: Eukaryota; Metazoa; Arthropoda; Insecta; Coleoptera; Chrysomelidae
Description: 16S ribosomal RNA
Rfam family: Bacterial large subunit ribosomal RNA
Source: RNAcentral
CCCGAAUCUUGAAGAGCUACAAGCCUAUUUUUUUAAUGUGUCAUAAUUAUUAUAAAUUGACUUGUAGGGGUGAAACGUUAUUCGUUUUAAGAUAUAUCUGGUUCUUUAAGAAAUAGAUUUAAUCUAGCUUAAUUAAAUUAGAUAUUUUAUUAAUAAGUUUCUAGUUUAUUUGAGUAAGCUAUUUGGGGAUAAGCUCUAAUAGUAAUUUUUAUUUAAUUGUGAUUUUGCCAAACCCAUAGGAAUAGAAAUUUCCAUUGUUAAUAGUUUGUUAUAAUCAAUUUGGUUUUAUAUACGAUUUUUAUAGUUAAUAAAUUGUUUAUUGAAGUAUUAAGGUUAAUUUUCUACUUUAAGAAAAAAUGAUGAAAUUAGUAUAUUUAUUUGUAAAGUUAAAAUUGUUUGAGAGAAUUAUUAAAGGAAUUCGGCAAGUAUAUUCUUCACCUGUUUAUUAAAAACAUGUCCUUUUGACUAUUAUUUAAGGUCGGGCCUGCCCAAUGAGGAUUUGAAUGGCCGCAGUAAUUUGACUGUGCUAAGGUAGCAUAAUCAUUAGUUUCUUAAUUAGGAACUGGAAUGAAAGGUUUGAUGAGGGAAUAACUGUCUCUAAUAUUUUUAUAGAAUUUUAUUUUUAAGUUAAAAAGCUUAAAUUUAGUUGAAAGACGAGAAGACCCUAUAGAGUUUGAUAUAUUAAUUUAUUAUACAUUUUUGAAUUUUAAUUGGUUUAAUAAUUUAAUUUAUUUGGUUGGGGUGAUUGUAAAAUUGAUUGAACUUUUACUAUUUGCUGGCCACUGAUAUGUGUUUUGAUGAUCCAAUAAUUUUGAUUAUAAGAAUGAAUUACCUUAGGGAUAACAGCGUAAUCUUUUUGUAGAGUUCUAAUCGAUAAAAGGGAUUGCGACCUCGAUGUUGGAUUAAAAUUUACUUAGGGUGCAAUAGCUCUGGAGUUGGGUCUGUUCGACCUUUAAAAUUUUACAUGAUCUGAGUUUAAACCGGCGUGAGCCAGGUUGGUUUCUAUCUUCAAUUGUUUACAAAACCCUAGUACGAAAGGACCGGG